This 253-nucleotide ribosomal RNA is filed under the name uncultured bacterium. RNAcentral's name for it is "partial 16S ribosomal RNA". It matches the Rfam family "Bacterial small subunit ribosomal RNA", at positions 524 to 776 of the family's 1533-position model. The record is from RNAcentral.
UACGUAGGGUGCGAGCGUUAAUCGGAAUUACUGGGCGUAAAGAGCUCGUAGGUGGUUUGUCGCGUUGUUCGUGAAAACUCACAGCUCAACUGUGGGCGUGCGGGCGAUACGGGCAGACUUGAGUACUGCAGGGGAGACUGGAAUUCCUGGUGUAGCGGUGGAAUGCGCAGAUAUCAGGAGGAACACCGGUGGCGAAGGCGGUUCUCUGGGCCUGUACUGACGCUGAGGAGCGAAAGCGUGGGGAGCGAACAGG